UGUUUUUUAAUCAUCAUAUUGAGCAGAGGCCAACAAUAUUUAUUUAGAGUUGCACAAAGACACGGUUUCGCCUUUUAAUCCAUACAUUUAAUGACUUAUGUCCUUGUAGGUAGGAUAAUUACCACAACACUGAACCGGAUUUAAAUUACAAGAUUUAACCGAGAAGAGAAAAAACAAACCGAAACUAAAUGAAAAAAGUUAAAAGUAGGGGAAAGCGAGCUUGAAACUACGUUUUAUCGGCUUCGCAGUCUUGCAUUUCCAGUCGGGAGGUUUCGCCCGAUGCGGAGCUUAAUUGCUACGAAAAAGGAACCGAAAGAAAUACGGAGCUUUGUUUAAAUUCUAACUGAUUAAACAGACUAUCUUUAUAAAAAAGGAUAAUUGCAUUAAGAUUCCAAAGACUUUUUGAAAACGGACUGCAGAAACGGGCCUUACUGAGACUAUUUGUGAAGAAACCAAAAUGCGAAGAGCACAUGAGCAAUUUCAGUGGAAUUGGAAUAACGGAAACCAAAUUUAUAUUCACUGUAUUUCUGAUUGGAAUAGGAGCUAGUUUAUCUAUUCUCUUGUUAGAAAUAUCUAUUUUUAAAAUCACCCAUUCGUUGAUUUAUUAUAAUAUUUUAAGGAAAUAUCAUGUACUACAAUCUUAUACCAACUAAACACACGUUUAAAUACAUAUAUGUUGUUAAAAAUAAUGUCUAUAGGAUUGUGGAGUUGCCUGGCU
This is a long non-coding RNA of Sitophilus oryzae (rice weevil), 718 nucleotides long. RefSeq lists it as uncharacterized. Lineage: Eukaryota; Metazoa; Arthropoda; Insecta; Coleoptera; Curculionidae. The transcript has 3 exons. The record is from RefSeq and is a predicted model, not a curated record.